UCUUAAUUAACUCACACAUGGGUCGUGCAUGGUAUAUGUGAAGUUUAAUUAAUUAAUUUAUUUGAUAUUAAAGAGAAAAUACAUUCUCAAAUUUGAGUUAAAAAAUAUCUUCACAUAAUGAUUAGCUUUGAUAAAGUAUACCUACACAUGUGUGAGCUUUGCCAAUUACUUCUUUACCCUUUAUCUUUUGUGGUUAUCUACUUUAAUACAUUAUUAAAAAAACUAACGGUAUUUUUGUAAAGCCAUAUUGGAUAUAAUUGAAACAAAAACAUGGGCCAAGGAUAAAAUGGUAAAGUGACAUAACUUAGGGUUACGGUGUGUGAUAAUAGUGUGAAAUCCCAUCCCUUCAUCUUAGUGGUUGGAUGGGGAUGGGUGGCUAGGUACAUUAGCCUCUCAUGUGCUUUUGGAUUAGUGCAUCAAGGGUAUUGAUUGAAUCCAAAGUUAUACCUAUGUUAUAAAAGCACAUCAUGAGAUUUCAAACAAUAUCUAUCUCAACUCUAGAGCCAUUUUGAAAAAUUGUUGCUCCCCUCCUUCUUCUAAGGUUUUGUGAGAGAAAAUUGAAGAAAGAGAGCUUUUAGAGUUCCAUUAAUGGUGGUCAUUCUCUCUUAUGCUUAAGUCCAUAGUGUGCAUUUAUCAAGGUAAACUCCAUUGAAUUUUCUUUUUUUUUUAGGAUCAUAUCCUUGGCAUCUAUAGUUGUUAGAGUUUUUAAUUUAGAAAAGUUUCAUUGAUCUUAGAAUCCACAUUUGAUCAUUUUUUUCAUCAUGCUUAUUCAUACUGUGUUCAUUCAUGAGUUAUAGCCGAUGUGCAUGAGAAUCCAUGAUCAUACAUAGUAUCCAUUAAUUACUUUGCUUCAAAC
This 856-nucleotide long non-coding RNA is filed under the name Amborella trichopoda. Its description in RNAcentral is "long non-coding RNA (ATRI_LNC000189)". The record is from RNAcentral. Lineage: Eukaryota; Viridiplantae; Streptophyta; Magnoliopsida; Amborellales; Amborellaceae.